RNAcentral lists this ribosomal RNA (372 nucleotides) under uncultured organism. Its description in RNAcentral is "partial 16S ribosomal RNA". It matches the Rfam family "Bacterial small subunit ribosomal RNA", at positions 527 to 896 of the family's 1533-position model. The record is from RNAcentral.
GUAGGUGGCAAGCGUUGUCCGGAAUUAUUGGGCGUAAAGCGCGCGCAGGCGGUUCUUUAAGUCUGAUGUGAAAGCCCACGGGCUCAACCGUGGAGGGUCAUUGGAAACUGGAGAACUUGAGUACAGAAGAGGAAAGCGGAAUUCCACGUGUAGCGGUGAAAUGCGUAGAGAUGUGGAGGAACACCAGUGGCGAAGGCGGCUUUCUGGUCUGUAACUGACGCUGAGGCGCGAAAGCGUGGGGAGCAAACAGGAUUAGAUACCCUGGUAGUCCACGCCGUAAACGAUGAGUGCUAAGUGUUAGGGGGUUUCCGCCCCUUAGUGCUGCAGCUAACGCAUUAAGCACUCGCCUGGGGAGUACGGCCGCAAAGGCUG